Capsicum annuum is the source of this 2225-nucleotide long non-coding RNA. RefSeq lists it as uncharacterized. NCBI's taxonomy places the organism in Eukaryota, Viridiplantae, Streptophyta, Magnoliopsida, Solanales, Solanaceae. The transcript has 2 exons. The record is from RefSeq and is a predicted model, not a curated record.
AUUUAAGUGACCACCUCUCUUCUUUAUCUUCAUCUCAAGAACUCUUGAAUGAAAUUGUAGAGUGUUAAGUAAGUUUAUUUUCAAUAUUUCCAAGCAAGUAAAAGAGUAACUUCUGCAAAAUCAAGGCAAUAUGGCUCGUAAACUACUACUAAACAGAGGAAGAAGAUCCUUAAGAGGUAGAGACGAACCUGCACCUUCUUACAAUACCAGGCAAUAGGAAAGGGAACCUCUAAUACUUUUGUAGACUAAAGAGGAGAGCGACAGUAGUACAAUCAGUACCAGCUCAAGCCCAGACGAAGCAACGGUUACUAUAUGUCAACCUGCGCCUACUGUAGGUGAAACUAAAGCUGCCAAUGUGGUAGAACAAAUGGAAGCAACUGAUGUGGAUAAUGAACCUGAGGAUGCCAAUGUUAUCAGGCGUAAGGAUUAUCAAGUUUGAGAGGUGAUUAGAUGGAAGAUACAGGGAGCAUGAGAGAAACUAUGACUGAUUGACACCUACAGAAAGAGAGAUAAAAAGGCCAUUCGCAGAGGAACAUCAGAGUGUGAAAACGAAGCUACUUGAGUAUCCUGAGUUGGAACCCCAUUUUAAUGAGUAUGAACUAGCAUGGAUGAGCAGACCACCAGCAGUGUUUCAACCAAAUUGGGUAAGAGAAUUCUUUGCCAAUUAUCUUGUACUAGUAGAAAAGGACAUCCAAAGGGGACAUCAGUUGUAAGCUUGCCGAACAGAGAGUCCAUACCUGUUUGAGUUGUCACUAUCGAUAUCUCAGCCUGAACAAUUAAUAGUAUACUAUUUGGAUCAGAGUAUGAGGCUCCACUUGCUAUACCUGAUCUUAAGUAUAGGUUGAGGACUGUAUCCACUCAGAUGCCUUGGGUGGCUCCGUUAUUGACUGAUGAUGGGAACCCUACUUGGUUGACUAAUCCAUGGGAGCAUAUUGCAAAAUAUUCCAUUAGCUUUAAGGCUAAGUUCUGGUUGGCUGUUGUUUGCUUAAGCCUAAUGCUAAUAAAAAGUGAUGGAAACUUGGAUAAACACAAAGCCAUAUUGGAGGAAAGUUUGGUUUCAGGGUAGCCAGUUGACUUCGGCCAGAUUAUUAUGGUUGACAUGUUUAUGAGUGCAUAUAAAAUAAGGAGUGCAUUGCCAUUCCCAUGCUUAAUCACUAAUUAUGCAAAUAGGCCGGUGUGCCCCUGAUUCAUGGAGUUGACAAUGAAAUCCCGGCUAUAUAUAGAUAGGACAUUAAGAAGUCAAAACAUGAAUCGAAGCUCAAUAUGCGUGUCACCAAGCCUCCAACUUACCAGACUCAAUCUGCACCAACUCUUGAAGCUACAGAAAUUCCUGCAGGUAUGCCAUUGCCUAUCACCACUUAUGUGACACUAGAAUAUGUGCCUCCAGGUACUUCUACAGGGUUGGGUUCUGCACAAUAAAUGGGAGGAGCAGACUUUGCCAAAUACAGGUUCACAUAAGAGAAUUUUGCAAAAUCGGUGAAGCUGCAAAAGAGGUUUCAGAGAUAUUUAGAUAAAUGGGCAUCAAAAUUUAAGCCUUUUGUUGAUGAAAUUGCAGUUGAGGAAUUCCGUCUAUUCUAGACUAUUCACUUUAGGAUGGACAACAUGGAGCACCACAUCAACCAAAGGCUAGAUGCAUUGUCCCUCCCUAAUAUUGCAAAGCUCACGGCUGAAUUUGAGCAGGCAAAGGCUGAUAUAUCAGAGUUAAAGAGAAGGCAACUACACCAGACUAUUUUAGACCCAACCUUAGUGGCAAAUCACGAUGAUGAGGAUAUUUUAGAUCUGAUGCAAAGACCGGUCAAAGAUAAAGAAAAGCAGCCCAUGGAUGAGCGAGUUGUAAGGAAAAAAGAAAAGAGGAGAAAGAGAUCAACAAUCACACUAGAGCAACAGGAAUAGCAUAUCUCUAAAGAGAGCUUGAAAAAAAUCAAGGAAAGAUAAAGAAAAGAGAGAUGAGAGAAGAAGAUGAAGCAGCAGGAGUAACUACUAUUGUUACCCCAGCAAGGGGGAAAAUUUCAAGUUCAAUCCGAGAGAUGUAUUCUCCGGUAUUGGAGGGGGAGGUUUUGGAUGCUCCUACCACCAUAGGGGCCAACAUUACGCCAGGUGAGGACGCAAGAUCCUUAGCACAGUUCACAGAUGCCUCAAAUCAAUAAGAGGCAAUACAAGUAAAGCCAUUCCUUUGUACUUUAAUUUAAUUCUUUGAGGACAAUGCAUGUGAUUUUUUGUGGGAG